GGCCGGAUAAGGCGUUCACGCCGCAUCCGGCGGUUGUGCGCCGAUGCCUGAUGCGACGCUACGCGUCUUAUCAUGCC
RNAcentral lists this non-coding RNA (77 nucleotides) under Escherichia coli. Its description in RNAcentral is "Nucleoid-associated noncoding RNA 4 (CssrE)". It matches the Rfam family "Nucleoid-associated noncoding RNA 4 (CssrE)". From Rfam's summary of the family: In E. coli small RNA transcribed from repeated extragenic palindromic element (REP325) called nucleoid-associated ncRNA 4 (nRNA4) collaborates HU protein in condensing the DNA. The record is from RNAcentral. Lineage: Bacteria; Pseudomonadati; Pseudomonadota; Gammaproteobacteria; Enterobacterales; Enterobacteriaceae.